Octopus bimaculoides (California two-spot octopus) is the source of this 941-nucleotide long non-coding RNA. RefSeq lists it as uncharacterized. Lineage: Eukaryota; Metazoa; Mollusca; Cephalopoda; Octopoda; Octopodidae. The record is from RefSeq and is a predicted model, not a curated record.
ACUAAUUUAUAGUGCUUUUGUCCUGUCCGGGACUCUUUAUUAUUAAUUUUCUUUUUAUUAUUCAUCAGGAAUCCGUCAAAGGGACGAGAUCGACUAAUGAAUAGAUAUUACCCAAAUCCUGAUUACCCACUUUUCUUAAUGCACACCACUUAAACAAUCUAUACUCAUACAUAUAUACAUAUAUAUAUAUAUGUGUGUGUGUAUAUAUAUAUAUAUAUAUAUAUAUAUAUGUAAUGUUUAUGCAAGUGUGUGUGUGUGUGUGAAGGGGAGGUGGAAAUAUACUCCGUGCCGUGCGAUGUUCCCAUGGCAAAAGAUAGUUUUAAUGACAAUUUUUUAAACACAUUUACCGCCCAUUUUUCUCGAUCGACAUCGAUAUGUCUUGUUAUACUAUGAAACACGCCAGAGGGCGCGGAAGAGAGACAGGCACAUUAUACACUAUAUACAGUAUAUAUGAUGCUGAAAUUGCUAAACUGAACGUAUUAUAUCAUCAAAAUUGAGUACACACACACACACACAUAUAUAUAUACAUAUAUGUACAUACAUAUACACAUAUCUAUACCCAUAUAUAUAUAUAUAUAUAUAUACACAAAUAUAUAUAUUAUUUUACUAUAUAGAUAUAGAUAUAUCUUAUAUCUAUAUCUGUAUCUAUCUAUCUAUCUAGGGAGAAUUCACAAAAGAAAAAACAAAAGACGAAAACAGGUGGUGUAGAAAACAAACAGGCACAAGACCCGAAAUUUUUGGGGAGGGCGCCAGUCGGUUAGAUCGACCCCAGUACGCAACUGGUAUUUAAUUUAUCGACUCCGAAAUGAUGAAAGACAAAGUUGACCUCGGCGGAAUUUGAACUCAGAACGUAAAGACAGACGAACUGCUAGCUCGCUACCUUUGAAAUUAAAAUAGUAAUUACAUUCAAUUAAUAAAGCUGAUACUAAACUGUAAACACA